GACGUCCACUCACCAGGAUACAAGCUUCUCAAAUAAGCAAGCCAAGCUGCUCAAGACGUAGAAGUUCGCGUCCGAGUUUGACCAUCUGGUGGAUACGUCAAAGGUCAAGUUGGACGUGAUGAAGCUCUGGAUUGCCAAGCGGGUCAUUGAGCUACUUGGGUUCGACGUAUGUUUCUGAUCCAUGCAGAGGACCAAAAUUGAAGUCCAAACUUUGCACUACAUCUACAGAACGUUUGCUUUGGUGUCCCGUUCCAAUAUGUUGCAUGCUUAGAGUUUAAGACA
Zea mays is the source of this 282-nucleotide long non-coding RNA. RefSeq lists it as uncharacterized. The record is from RefSeq and is a predicted model, not a curated record. The transcript has 3 exons. NCBI's taxonomy places the organism in Eukaryota, Viridiplantae, Streptophyta, Magnoliopsida, Poales, Poaceae.